Molecule: unclassified non-coding RNA, 326 nt
Filed under: Clavulina sp.
Lineage: Eukaryota; Fungi; Basidiomycota; Agaricomycetes; Cantharellales; Hydnaceae
Description: partial contains 5.8S ribosomal RNA, internal transcribed spacer 2, and large subunit ribosomal RNA
Source: RNAcentral
CGCACCUUGCGCUCCUUGGUAUUCCGAGGAGCACACCUGUUCGAGUAUCGUGAAAUUCUCAAGCUGGAUGGCUUUAUUGCUGUCUCAGUUUGGUUUUGGGCUCUGCCGUCUCCUCCUUUGGAAUGGCUGGCCUUAAAAGUAUUAGCUGACCCUCGUUUGUGGGAUUGGUUCUACUCAGCGUGAUAAUCUUAUGACCGCUGAGGACAUCUUUCGGGAUGGCCAGUGCUACCUUGGAUCGCUUCUAAUCCUGGCGCUUGGAGUUCGUUUCCGAGUCCAUCAUUCUCAACUUUGAUCUCGAAUCAGGUGGGACUACCCGCUGAACUUAA